Carassius carassius (crucian carp) is the source of this 865-nucleotide long non-coding RNA. RefSeq lists it as uncharacterized. The transcript is spliced from 4 exons. NCBI's taxonomy places the organism in Eukaryota, Metazoa, Chordata, Actinopteri, Cypriniformes, Cyprinidae. The record is from RefSeq and is a predicted model, not a curated record.
UGACCUAUGAAAGGAAAUGGCUGUUAGUUCAAUAGUUUUACAGAUCAAUAACAGGUCAGUGCUGGAGGCAACUGUGAGGUUACGACUGUGACGGCAAGGUCAAAAUCUUCACUGUCGCUUGACAUGCUUUCUGUCACGGAAAUGUAGAGGUGAAGAUGGGGCGAGUGGAAUGAGCCUGCUGCAUGUAACCUGACAUUUUUAAAUAGAAGCCAUGGUGGUCUCCAGUCAAAUCGAACAGAAGUGUCAUCACAUUGUAGACAUCCAACUCAAAUCAAGCCGACUGACGGGCAAUGAAAACACAUGUAUGUGUACGCUUCACUGAACUGAACGCAUGAACAUACAUUGAGGUUAAAAAGCACCAGAAGGCACCUACCCACAAGAAGCUUGGAUAACCAUCAAAACAGUGGUCUUGAUAGUCUUUGACAUCACCUGCUUUCUCUCUCUGUCAUGGAUGAUGGUUAAAAUGGUGAAAUGGGUGACUGGCAUCAUCACGAGAACUGAAUGACAGGGUGAGCGAAGGACACACAUGCAAGGAAAGAAGUCGAGAUGAAGAGAUGAGGCUCCAGGAAAGCAACCAGAAUGAAUGUGAGAAGAAACAAAAUGAGAAAAAAAAAUGCCAUGGAAUGUGAAGGACAGUUGAAAAAGAGUCAUGCAGACAAACGGAUGUAGUUUUGAUGAUCAAAUGGCCUGAUUUUUAGUUUAGUUUAGUUCCAUAUCUGUUCCAAUGUUAUAAACAUAAAUGCAUUCACACUCAAUUCAAAUCAGUGUGAAUUUGAAUUCAUUCAGUGGACAUAGAUAGAAAUUACCGUAUUUCUCAAAUUUGUUUAUAAGAAUGCUACAUUAAACAGGUAAGUUAUCUGGUGUU